ACUGGAGACUGGCGAACGGGUGAGUAACGCGUAGAUAACCUGCCUUUAACUGGGGGAUAACACUGCGAAAGUGGUGCUAAUACCGCAUAAUGCAGCGGGGCCGCAUGGCCACAGUUGUUAAAGCCUUCGGGCGGUUAGAGAUGGGUCUGCGUGCUAUUAGUUAGUUGGUGAGGUAACGGCUCACCAAGGCGAUGAUAGCUAGGGGGUCUGAGAGGAUGAUCCCCCACAC
Molecule: ribosomal RNA, 229 nt
Filed under: Eutreptiella gymnastica
Lineage: Eukaryota; Euglenozoa; Euglenophyceae; Eutreptiales; Eutreptiaceae
Description: partial Bacterial small subunit ribosomal RNA
Rfam family: Bacterial small subunit ribosomal RNA
Source: RNAcentral